Lupinus albus (white lupine) is the source of this 386-nucleotide non-coding RNA. Lineage: Eukaryota; Viridiplantae; Streptophyta; Magnoliopsida; Fabales; Fabaceae. The record is from the annotation of a GenBank genome assembly.
UCUUAUACCUUAAAUCUUUCUAUUGUUUUCAUUACUCUCUUUUCCUGAUUUUCUUAUAUCCUCUCAAAAUGAAGCAUUUUGUUUCCGGUCCCUCAAAUAAAUAUGUAUGGAAUGGUGAGGAAAUCACUUUCCAUGCUAGAUGCAAUUUUUGGCAGUCAUUACCUAAUGAAUGAGUGUUGCAAUUGAUUCGCAACACUACUUUUGGUCCUAUGUUAGAUAUUGGUGUUGUCGAAAUCAACAACCAUCUUUUGAUGUAACAAUAUUAAGAAUUACCUUUUACGCUUGAAGUAAAAUGGAAUGAAGUGUUGGUAUAUUUGUAACGUGGUAUGCUUCUGUUAGUAAUAUGUGUGUGUUUGGUAGCUCUUGGUUUAGGUUUUGCGGGGUGA